GAGUUUGAUCAUGGCUCAGGAUGAACGCUGGCGGCGUGCUUAACACAUGCAAGUCGAACGAACCUUCGGGUUAGUGGCGGACGGGUGAGUAACGCGUGAGAAUCUGCCCUCAGGAGGGGGACAACAGCUGGAAACGGCUGCUAAUACCCCAUAUGCCGCGAGGUGAAAUGAAUUUCGCCUGAGGAUGAGCUCGCGUCUGAUUAGCUAGUUGGUGUAGGUAAUGGCUCACCAAGGCAUCGAUCAGUAGCUGGUCUGAGAGGAUGAUCAGCCACACUGGGACUGAGACACGGCCCAGACUCCUACGGGAGGCAGCAGUGGGGAAUUUUCCGCAAUGGGCGAAAGCCUGACGGAGCAACGCCGCGUGAGGGAUGAAGGCCUCUGGGCUGUAAACCUCUUUUAUCAAGGAAGAAGAUCUGACGGUACUUGAUGAAUAAGCCACGGCUAAUUCCGUGCCAGCAGCCGCGGUAAUACGGGAGUGGCAAGCGUUAUCCGGAAUUAUUGGGCGUAAAGCGUCCGCAGGCGGCCCUUCAAGUCUGCUGUUAAAAAGUGGAGCUUAACUCCAUCAUGGCAGUGGAAACUGUUGGGCUUGAGUGUGGUAGGGGCAGAGGGAAUUCCCGGUGUAGCGGUGAGAUGCGUAGAUAUCGGGAAGAACACCAGUGGCGAAGGCGCUCUGCUGGGCCAUCACUGACGCUCAUGGACGAAAGCCAGGGGAGCGAAAGGGAUUAGAUACCCCUGUAGUCCUGGCCGUAAACGAUGAACACUAGGUGUCGGGGGAAUCGACCCCCUCGGUGUCGUAGCCAACGCGUUAAGUGUUCCGCCUGGGGAGUACGCACGCAAGUGUGAAACUCAAAGGAAUUGACGGGGGCCCGCACAAGCGGUGGAGUAUGUGGUUUAAUUCGAUGCAACGCGAAGAACCUUACCAGGGUUUGACAUCCUGCGAAUCUCUUGGAAACAGGAGAGUGCCUUCGGGAACGCAGUGACAGGUGGUGCAUGGCUGUCGUCAGCUCGUGUCGUGAGAUGUUGGGUUAAGUCCCGCAACGAGCGCAACCCACGUCUUUAGUUGCCAGCAUUUAGUUGGGCACUCUAGAGAGACUGCCGGUGAUAAACCGGAGGAAGGUGUGGAUGACGUCAAGUCAUCAUGCCCCUUACAUCCUGGGCUACACACGUACUACAAUGCUACGGACAAAGGGCAGCAAGUUCGCGAGGACAAGCAAAUCCCAUAAACCGUGGCUCAGUUCAGAUCGUAGGCUGCAACUCGCCUACGUGAAGGCGGAAUCGCUAGUAAUCGCAGGUCAGCAUACUGCGGUGAAUACGU
RNAcentral lists this ribosomal RNA (1315 nucleotides) under unidentified marine bacterioplankton. RNAcentral's name for it is "bacterial SSU rRNA". It matches the Rfam family "Bacterial small subunit ribosomal RNA", at positions 9 to 1371 of the family's 1533-position model. The record is from RNAcentral.